GCUGGGUGUGGUGGUGCAUGCCUGUAGUCCCAGUGACUUGGGAGGCUGAGGCAGGAGGAUUGCUUGAGCCCAGGAGUUUGAGGCUGCAGUGAGCUAUGAUCAUGUCACUGCACUCCAGCCUGGGUGACAGAGUGAGAUCCCAUCUCAA
This 148-nucleotide small RNA is filed under the name Macaca fascicularis (crab-eating macaque). Its description in RNAcentral is "Metazoan signal recognition particle RNA (ENSMFAG00000056977.1)". Lineage: Eukaryota; Metazoa; Chordata; Mammalia; Primates; Cercopithecidae. The record is from Rfam by way of RNAcentral.